AGUGUACGCUGGCGGUGGGCCUAACACAUGCAAGUCGAACGGCAGCACAGUAAGAGCUUGCUCUUACGGGUGGCGAGUGGCGGACGGGUGAGGAAUACAUCGGAAUCUACUUUUUCGUGGGGGAUAACGUAGGGAAACUUACGCUAAUACCGCAUACGACCUACGGGUGAAAGCAGGGGAUCUUCGGACCUUGCGCGAUUGAAUGAGCCGAUGUCGGAUUAGCUAGUUGGCGGGGUAAAGGCCCACCAAGGCGACGAUCCGUAGCUGGUCUGAGAGGAUGAUCAGCCACACUGGAACUGAGACACGGUCCAGACUCCUACGGGAGGCAGCAGUGGGGAAUAUUGGACAAUGGGCGCGAGCCUGAUCCAGCCAUACCGCGUGGGUGAAGAAGGCCUUCGGGUUGUAAAGCCCUUUUGUUGGGAAAGAAAAGCAGCAGGUUAAUACCCCGCUGUUCUGACGGUACCCAAAGAAUAAGCACCGGCUAACUUCGUG
Molecule: ribosomal RNA, 492 nt
Filed under: uncultured bacterium
Lineage: Bacteria
Description: partial 16S ribosomal RNA
Rfam family: Bacterial small subunit ribosomal RNA
Source: RNAcentral